Molecule: transfer RNA, 71 nt
Filed under: Candidatus Anderseniibacteriota bacterium
Lineage: Bacteria; Candidatus Anderseniibacteriota
Description: tRNA-Gln
Rfam family: tRNA
About the family: Transfer RNA (tRNA) molecules are approximately 80 nucleotides in length.
Source: RNAcentral
UCCGGGAUCGUCUAACGGCAGGACGUCAGGCUCUGAACCUGGAAAUCGGGGUUCGAAUCCCUGUCCCGGAA